UUUAAAACAUGUUUCUCACCAGUGUGGUUAUAUAUGCCUCUAAUCCCAGUGAUUUGGGAGAGACCAAGGCAAAAGAAUGGCAACUUUGAGGCCUGACGGACUCUGUCUAAAAAUAAAAAAUGAAAAGAAACAAAGCAAAGACAUCAUCAACUGGUUAAAUCCUACUCAAUUUAAAACCCCAGUUGAAGUUCCAGCUCCUUCAAGAAAGACUGCUCGAUCCAUUUACCUCUCUAUCCCCCCACCAGGGUACUUGCGCUGAAGAAACAACUUUCCGACACUUGGAGGUGGCCUCAGGAAGAUGUGUGUGGUGACUGGGUAUGUGAGUGUUAAACUUGCAUUCAGAAGAGAAAACUAGUACAAAUUUCAGGCCUAAAGAAUGGAGAGACAAGAUGCUGAGGAGGAGAGUGACAAUCACAGGCAUUGUGUUAGGCUCAAUGCUAUGUGUGACUUCUUGUGGUGCUUGGUAUAACAGAUUUUGUGGGGGUGCUAUGAAAAAGCUUUUCAUCCUCCAAAAUAAUUAAAUAAAAAGGAGGAUGCUCUGGAACGCUGCAUAACUCUGGGGAAUUUGUCUGCUCUGGAAAAAAGACUGAAAAUAGGACAUUGAAUAGGAUAUGACUUAUGAAACGUUUUAAGAUUUUUUAAAAUUCCACUUUAAGGAAUUUGCAAAUUCUUCAGUCUAUAAUGGUCAACAAUGACAUUCAAAUGGGAUGGACAAAUGCCUUCCAAUUUUUAAAUUCAAAGUGGGGGCACAUGAGGAUGAAGUAUGACCUAACACUAUAGGGGAAAGAAUUCUUCUUUUUACAAAACGUCAAAGACCCAACCAGAACAUAACAUUAAGUAAUAAAGGAACAGGAGUCAAAGUAAAUAUAUAACAUAAUGCCUAUUUUGUUUGCUUAUUUUGAAUAUGCAAAUCUAUAAUGAGGACCUCCAAGUAUUCUGGGUAAAAGAAUUUCAGAACUUCACUUCUUUCUGUUUCUUCUCAAUUUUCUAUAUUUAUUUAUUUAAGAACAUAUGAAUGGCCUAUGUAUGUGUGUACUAGUUAACCUCUAUUACUGGUUCCUUCUCUAUUAUUGGGGGGGAAUAACAUUGCUUUUAGAAAAUGCACACAGGUUAUAUCUAUGGUUGUUUUUCAACAAUUCCCUGGCUACAAAUAGCUUAAGUUGUAUCAUGUGAUGCUGUGGGUUGACUGCUUUCUUAGAUGGCCUAAAACUAAAUAUGAUUUUGUUGUGAAAAAAAAAAAGGGUUCUUUUGUAGUCUAGUAGGGAUUCUGCUAUGAAGCUUUUAUUAAAUAUCCUUGCACAGUCUUGAAUUCAAAGCAAUACAGAGGAAAAAAAAUCAAUUUUUUUAACGUUAACAGAAUGCUUAAAAACUUAAAAGGACUACAAAUGUUUCAUUGGAUUUUGAUACUACAUACUUUGGUUUUAAUUUGUUGUAUCUCCACAAUUUUACUAUUAUGCAGCAAUAAGUAUUAAGCCAUAUUUAGGAUUUUACUUACUCAAAAAAAAUUAAUGGACGGUUUUUCAUGUUCAAGCCAUCAUGCUGGCUUGAGAAGCAGGGUUGGGUGGUGGGAGGAUGUAAUGGUUAGCUUAUUUUCCUCAAAUCAGAGCCAUUUAGAUACUUUUACAACUAUUGCUUAAAAUCUCUGCAGCAAGAACUUGCCAUUAACAGGGCAGCAUAUUCCUCUGUCUUCUAUUGUAAUUGAAAGAAAUUAUUUUUCACCAUAGUCCAACACCACCUACCUCCCAUCGGCCACCUAGUUCUGACUUCUAGAGCAACACCAAGCCAGGCCAAUGCUUCAUUCUUGGAAUUCUCUAAGAUAAAAAUUCCAAGUACUGCAACUUCCUUUUUCUAACCCAGCUAUAAGGUUUCAUAUCAAUUAUCAUUAAAUUUCAUUGUAUUGGUUUCAUCAAUUACUCACUUUAUUGAGCUAUCCAAAUAUUUAUUCUGGGAUUCAUUACAUUAGAUACUUCUCUAAGUUUGUCUUUCUGCCUUUGAAAUACACUGGGACGACAAUUAAAAUGAUAAAAGUAUCAGACAUCUUUAUUUUUCAGCUCAGGAAAAAUAGGAUGGUGAUGAAAAAAAUUAUUUAAUUCACCUUUAAAAUUUCUCAUGUGGGCUUCUUAGAAAUACUUAACUUUCAUUUUAAAAUGGUACAUAAAAUAGUCAUACACAUGCACACAUUUUUCUUUUUUAAAUAUCUGAAACACAUUUUAGCCUGAUGUAUGAAAUUAGAUAAUGUAAACAGUGACAGAUGUUUUACUGUACGAAAAUAUUUCCUGAAUAAUCAGAUUAAGCUCAUGAAUUAGAGAUGAUUUCUUCAAAUUUUAUAAACAUGACUUUGGUUAGAAUAAUGAAAGAUUCAAUUUUCCAGUGAUACAAAUUUUAUUUGAAAUAGUCACACUAUAUCCUGGCUUUGAAAUAAAACUUGCAUCUAUCUUUAAGUUGUGAAGAGUGUUUUUGGGUUAUCAUACACCAUACUAACACUUCUUGAAGAAACUGUUUAGAGUGAAUAUUCCAAUUUUAAAGAAGCAGAUUGGCUUCAAAGAAAUCACGAGAUAGCGCAGGGCAUGUUUAGCUCUCUCUAGAGUCAGGUUUGAGUUUGCUUAGAAAGGCCUGGCACUGGGCGACAUGGCAGGAGACAGCAUAAGAUUUUGGCUCUGUCAUUGAUAUAGCCUUGGAUAGAUUAUCACUUCUUUGGGCUUUAAUUUAAAUAGCAGUUCAAUUAGAUCAUGUUCGAGACCCCUUCCAUUGAACAACCUGCUCUCUUUUAGCAGGUAUGAAACGACCAGUCCGGUCAGAACUGAAUAAACCACCCCAUACCAGCAAAGACCUUUCCUAAUGUGGAUGAAACCUCUAGGGAGCUGGAGCACAGGCUUACAUUUAUCUUUUACAUUAAGCUAGUUAUGGUGUCUAGGUAAAGGCAGUUAUUUGUAUUUUAUUUUGCUAUUCUCAUUACAGAUAAGACAAGGUAGAAUUCAUUCCACCUAACCCAGUACAAGCUAUCUCUCUAAGAAAGGGAGAU
Molecule: long non-coding RNA, 3022 nt
Organism: Marmota monax (woodchuck)
Lineage: Eukaryota; Metazoa; Chordata; Mammalia; Rodentia; Sciuridae
Exons: 3
Source: RefSeq, a predicted model, not a curated record